UACGGAGGAUGCGAGCGUUAUCCGGAUUUAUUGGGUUUAAAGGGUGCGUAGGCGGGCUUUUUAGUCAGCGGUAAAAAUUCGGGGCUCAACCCCGUCCGGCCGUUGAAACUGGGGGCCUUGAGUGGGCGAGAAGAAGGCGGAAUGCGUGGUGUAGCGGUGAAAUGCAUAGAUAUCACGCAGAACCCCGAUUGCGAAGGCAGCCUUCCGGCGCCCUACUGACGCUGAGGCACGAAAGUGCGGGGAUCGAACAGG
RNAcentral lists this ribosomal RNA (252 nucleotides) under uncultured bacterium. Its description in RNAcentral is "partial 16S ribosomal RNA". It matches the Rfam family "Bacterial small subunit ribosomal RNA", at positions 524 to 776 of the family's 1533-position model. The record is from RNAcentral.